GUGCCAGCCGCCGCGGUAACACGUAGGGGGCGAGCGUUGUUCGGAAUCAUUGGGCGUAAAGGGCGUGCAGGCGGCCGCCAAAGUCCGGCGUGAAAGACCCAGGCUCAACCUGGGGGGUGCGCCGGAUACUGGGCGGCUUGAGUACAGGAGGGGACGGCGGAAUUCCAGGUGUAGGGGUGAAAUCUGUAGAUAUCUGGAGGAACACCGAUGGCGAAGGCAGCCGUCUGGCCAUGUACUGACGCUGAGGCGCGAAGGUGCGGGGAGCAAACAGGUUUAGAUACCCUGGUAGUCCGCACAGUAAACGAUGUGCACCAGGCGGCGGGGGCAACCUCGCUGCCGCAGUCAACGCAUUAAGUGCACCGCCUGGGGAGUAUGCCCGCAAGGGUGAAACUCAAAGAAAUUGACGG
This 407-nucleotide ribosomal RNA is filed under the name uncultured bacterium. RNAcentral describes it as "bacterial SSU rRNA". It matches the Rfam family "Bacterial small subunit ribosomal RNA", at positions 505 to 916 of the family's 1533-position model. The record is from RNAcentral.